This is a long non-coding RNA of Felis catus (domestic cat), 521 nucleotides long. RefSeq lists it as uncharacterized. Lineage: Eukaryota; Metazoa; Chordata; Mammalia; Carnivora; Felidae. The transcript is spliced from 3 exons. The record is from RefSeq and is a predicted model, not a curated record.
GCCCCGCGCUGCCUGCGCCAGCUGACUGUUGUCCUCCCCGCGCUCAGCGGGCCAGACUUGGACCCUUGUCCCUCUCUCGCGUCGCCAGCGCCUGGCUCAGGUCUGGCCCUGGGAAGGCUCUCUGGAAACACCUGUGGCGCUAGAGCUUGGCGACGGGCGACGCGGAAGGGACCGCGCGCUUCAGGCCACCAUCCCUGCCUGCGCCCCAACCCGUGCCAGGCGCUGGGGGAACAAUGAUGAAUGCGGAGCCCGCCGGCUUCCAGCGCAGCUCUGCCUGCCGCGCCCAGCGCCGGCGUUCCCUGUCAGGGAUGUUGGGCCUUUUACAGAACUCACCUCCUACCUUUCCAACAACUCUGUCAUGGAGAAAUUCUGGAAGGAAAACAAGGUCCACUGUGCACCCAGUACAUUUUAUACACUGGGAAUUUUUUCCAAGUACUCUAAAGUAGUAACAUGGAUGUGGUGAUAGAGGAGGAGGGAAUGAAAUGUAUUUUCAGCAAGAAUUAAAGGUGUGCUGAAACAGA